GAAAAUAAUUAAGCUUAUUAUUUAGUUUUAUCAUCAUCUCUUAGAGACAGAGAAGAAGAAGAAAAAACGGGAGGCAACAUAUCUCACAUUCAAGACGACGAAUCUUCACAUGAACACAAGUCUCGCGUCGUUGCCUUCCAUUCCAAGCAUCAAUGGAACACCCACUUCGCUGCCUCCAAAGACAGCAAUAAACUUGUAAGUAAUUAUAAUUAAGCUUUUUAAAGAGUUUGUAGGCUUUGUAAUUCAAUUGUUUAAGUAAUAACUGAUAUAACAGAAAUAUAGUUAGAAGGGUAUUAUUGUAAUUUCAUUUCCUAAAGUUCAAUUGUAUACAUUUUCUCCAAUCAAUCAAUACAAUCUCUCUUGUUUCUCUCUAUCAUCUUCCUCUUCAUCUGUACCAAUUCUUCAUCUUUUGUAAUGUAGUUAAUAUAGUCUGAGAGCACCAAGGCUCACGCCAUGGAUCUUGGUGAUCGAUUCCUCUUCUCUCAUUACUUUCUAACCUUCUUCAUUACUUUCUUUUGUUUCCGCGUAUUUGAUCGUUUAUGCUUCCAUAUUCAUAGUUCUUAUUUUUGGUCUCUGGAUUUUUCCGCCGAGGGUUUUGUGUUUAGUUUUGGGGUUUUUCCUCUGGGUUUCAAGAUGAAGCCGGUGAGACCAACACGGCACCACUACUUGACCUUCACAUGGAAGACGUCGGCCCUUUCCUCUUCCUUCACCUUUGGAACAACCACCUUCAGCAUGCCAUUCUUCAUCUCCGCCUUGAUAUUAUCAGUCUUAAACCCCUUCUCCGGCAGUUCGAUUCCGGUGUUGUACCUCUGAGCCAGGAACAGAGAGUAAACUGAAGCUGAUUCAUAGAACAGGUAGAGUGUCAUCAUGAACACGAAACAGUGGCGUUCAGGGCUUCUGCUAAAUCGGCGGUGGAGAGAGGGGAGGAUAGCUAAAAUUCGUAGGGGUUAGGGUUUUCAUGAAGACUGCAUAGUUUCAGAACUUGGGGAUAUGAAAUUCGAAAGAAAUUAGGGAUUUGAGAGAGAUUUAGUCUAUGAACAGAGAGUGUCGGUCAAAAGAUUACGGUGCCAAGAUCCAUCUUCUUUCUACUGUGCAAAUCUCAAUUCGGUGGUGAUUCUUUCUGUUAUUCGUCUGGGAAUUUCUCUUCUUCGUUGCUGAUUGGAAAGUGGGAUCUUGGACUCUGUCAGGCAUGAUAUGGACAACAUUCUUUACAUGAGCAACCUUGAGAAGUGAUGCAGCAUCCGAAGGAAAAGCAACACGUGCCCCAGCAGCAAAAUGCAGCAGCUCUUACCAUCCUAUCAGCCUUCAUAGGACUACGGUUUAGCUUCAACAGUAGUAAAAUGGUUACUUGUAAUUGUUCCAACAAGCUUACUGUUAGGUUAUUCCAAAGUUGAUGUAGUUAAAAGUGCUACAAUGUUGGAUCAUCAACUUUAUUCGAAAUUGUUACUAUCAGCAUCAAAAGUGGAACUUGUAUCAAAGAUGUGGGACUGAACAUUCAAAUCACUUUAUAUUUUCGAGAUAGCAAGGUUGUCCAAACUAUCAUACACUACUCCAAACUGCAAAAGACAGGGGUUUGGGGUUUUCUACAGCGUUUAGCUUCAUAAUAGUAAUUGCAGAUGUAUUUACAAAAGGAUUGCACAAUCCAUUGUUCUUGAAGCAUUGCAGACAUCUUAAUCUUGUAGUUCCAGAUCAGUCUCAAAUACCUGGCUAGUUCAAACUUCACUUGGAUACUCCAAGUUUAGUUUGAGGGGAGAGUAAUAACUGAUAUAACAUAAAUAUAGUUAGAAGGGUAUUACUGUAAUUGGGUAUAUGGCUAUAUAAGGGAUUGUAUAGCUUUCAUUUCCUAUAAGUUCAAUUGUAUACAUUUUCUCCAAUCAAACAAUACAGUCUCUCUUGUUUCUCUC
Pyrus x bretschneideri (Chinese white pear) is the source of this 1904-nucleotide long non-coding RNA. RefSeq lists it as uncharacterized. The transcript has 2 exons. The record is from RefSeq and is a predicted model, not a curated record. Lineage: Eukaryota; Viridiplantae; Streptophyta; Magnoliopsida; Rosales; Rosaceae.